AACGAACGCUGGCGGCAUGCCUAACAAAUGCAAGUCGAACGAGACCUUCGGGUCUAGUGGCGCACGGGUGCGUAACGCGUGGGAACCUGCCCUUAGGUUCGGAAUAACUCCCCGAAAGGGGUGCUAAUACCGGAUAAUGUCUUCGGACCAAAGAUUUAUCGCCUUUGGAUGGGCCCGCGUUGGAUUAGCUAGUUGGUAGGGUAAAAGCCUACCAAGGCGACGAUCCAUAGCUGGUCUGAGAGGAUGAUCAGCCACACUGGGACUGAGACACGGCCCAGACUCCUACGGGAGGCAGCAGUGGGGAAUAUUGGACAAUGGGCGAAAGCCUGAUCCAGCAAUGCCGCGUGAGUGAUGAAGGCCUUAGGGUUGUAAAGCUCUUUUACCCGGGAUGAUAAUGACAGUACCGGGAGAAUAAGCUCCGGCUAACUCCGUG
RNAcentral lists this ribosomal RNA (433 nucleotides) under uncultured bacterium. RNAcentral's name for it is "partial 16S ribosomal RNA". It matches the Rfam family "Bacterial small subunit ribosomal RNA", at positions 29 to 507 of the family's 1533-position model. The record is from RNAcentral.